CACCUUGUCUUCUUUAACAGACUAGAUCAAAUGUUAAUGCAUGGCUUUGGUUUUUGUAUUGACAGUCAAAAUAAGCAAGCUGAGAAGUACAUGAAAUAACGCCGCCACUAACUCCACAAACCGGAUGUGCCAGUUCUACGCCAAAGCCUCGCAAGAGUUUAAACCCCAAAAUGAAACUGAAACUGAAGUUUUUUGGGACUGGAUUGAGAUUGGAAGAUUUGAUCCAUGAAGGUGAACUGUGUGUUUUGAAGAACACUGCAGUUAGUUGGCCACAGCUGAUGUAAAUAACAUUGAUGAGCUUGUUGAAGAGUCGCUGUGGCUGUUAGCCAGCGACAGUACAUGCAAAUACAUUUUACAGUGCAACUAUGAGGAACGAGUCUUUUGUGAAACCAAAAAAAAAGGGUUUACAGAUGUGGAGAAGAACAUGUGGUUUGGCUCCAGUCAGACUUUAUUCACUUUUACAGGUUGCUGUUGUUGGUUUGCACCUCGCCAGCAGUCAAAAUGGAGGUGCGGCUCUGGUGUCAUCCGAAUGUUUCUUUUCAUCUGUGCCUGUCUGAGCAGCUCAGAUAAAUUAACAAACCAACUUAGAGUGUCAGUCUGAAGAAUCAUUUCUCUGUUCUCCAUUAGAAUAGCCGGACUACAGAUCCUCCCUUUCCAUUUUGCUGCCUGUCUCCUCCCAUCCGCGUCGCCCAACUCAUCUGUCAAUCCCGCUUUUUUCCCCCUGUGCCUCAGAGCAACAACACGUCCUCCUCCCCCUGCCUUUGAAGGCGUAAACCCAACCGGUGAGUUUAACGCAUUUCUAAUGAACCAACGCCGGAUGGAGUCUGGAGAUUAGUCAUCACACGUCGCCAACGUGGAUCACGUCCGCCGAGUGACAGGCAGCUGCUAAGAGGCCUUUCUGACCCACCGCUGAACACGGCCGGAUCUUCAGCAGCGAAGGUUCCAGUUAACCACGGACUCCUCUCUCCAUGUCGACUGAUUGCAUCAUCGGCUCGCCGCUGGCGUGAAAGUGGCUGAGUGAGAAAGUACAGGAUGUCUUUAUUGCUGUGGAGAGGGAAACCUUCUCCAACCGUCUCCACCUGCACUUAUCACUCGCUGAGCAGAAAAUUCACUGAAAGUUCCCUGUCUAACUGGCGUGCAUUCCUGUUGGAGAAAUCAUAAACUAAGCCUUCUAAACCUGCCUUCCACUGACCUAAAGAAGGAGGAAUGUCUCGGAACCAUCAGCAGAUCAUUUUCCUCACCGGCCAACCUCACGCGCCUUUCUUAAUUUGAUUGGCAUGUUCUAUUUAUUACCAUGCAACUGGGAUUUUAUCCGCUAUUUGCUUCCAGAUCAGCCUAUACGGAGAGGGAAGAGAGGCUCCCCUGUGGUAGUGGUGAUGUCACCAGUGCAGAGUAAAUACCCAAAGUGCAUCAUGUUAAAGUGGAAGAAAUGGAAAGGAUGUUUGUUUGGUGUGAAGAGGCGCGACGCUCAAACCGGCCACUCAUCAGGAGAAACUAGACUUACAAAUCUGCUCACAAAAAAACACUAAAAGCCAACUUUGGUUUUGAAGGCCAGUUAGGUGUACUUUUUUAGAGUGCUGAUUAUUUUUAAUGACACAAAUCACGGGGUGACAUUUUCAGAUAUGUCAUUUUUUUAAAUUUCAAUCACAACCUCUCUUUGGGGUUGACUGAUGAAUCACAGCAACCUUUUCUCCCUCCGAAUUCAUUUGUAUCUCUUUGGAGUAAGAGCCUUGCUGCAGCUGUCUGUGCCGUGUGAGGGUGGGGGGGGGGCAGAAGCUGGGGGAGAACAGCUCGAAAAUGGCUUCUCUCGGUGGCAGCGUAUCACCAUCUAAAUCUCUCCCCCCACAUCGGGGGAGCAGAGCUGUGACUACUGGGAUUAGGCUAAUCACACAUUCACCCAGGAGGCUGCACACACAGGAGAUCCUGCGUAAGGCAUGACCUUAUUUCAGACGGGUUUCUAUAGACGCUCUUUUGCUGGCAUCUCGAAGCCAAUGCUUAUGCUGAGAUUUACUUAUUGGGGCUGCGCUUUAUUCCAGUUUGUCCCUUUACGCUGCAUUUUACACUUCAUUGACACGCAAACAUCCUUUUAUGAGCCGAUUCUUUUUUUUUUUUUUCACUACAUUAUUACAACUCACAAAUUGGUGUAUGUGAAAAAUAACUGUGCUCACAUAAGAUUCUCAAUUAAAUUGCGUCAUGUUUUUAAUAUUGUACAUUCUGUUAAAAUGAUUUGUAUUGAUAUUAUUAUGUGUGCAUAAAUUCAAGGCAAAUUGAACAGUUGAAAUAUGAUUUAAUGUAUUGUUUAUUUUAUUAAUUGUGAUAAAUACUAAAAGUACAUAUAAAAAAAGUCUUGAUAGACUAUUUGGAACUGUUCAUGGCAAAUUCAAUAUAAAAGUUGCUAAAGAUUAAGUGUAUUAAAU
Non-coding RNA from Gasterosteus aculeatus aculeatus (three-spined stickleback), 2417 nucleotides. The record is from RefSeq and is a predicted model, not a curated record. NCBI's taxonomy places the organism in Eukaryota, Metazoa, Chordata, Actinopteri, Perciformes, Gasterosteidae.